AAGUCAAUGUAAAGAGAACGUUAUGUUUCUGCCAAACAAACUUACUUGAUGAAUGAUGACGAACAUGCCACAAAACACAGCUUUGAUAUGGUGGUUUUAUGCUAUCCAACUUAACAAAAAAUUAUAAAUUGUUUAACUUUGAGAGAAAAAACUUCUACUUGGGGGGAAAACAUGGAAUAUCAUCCCCUCCCAAAGAGUUUAUAGGUGCAUUUAUUUAUGUGUUCAUUAAAUUCAUCCUAGAAUAUAUGCUGCUGGUGAGCGCCAGCCCAAUGACAUACCCUAUAGGAAAUGACUAGGAAGCUCUCUGUUCUUUCCUCUCAUUUUUCUGCUUUCUCCACCAAUAUCAAUUCUCUUCCUGCUUUCUUUUUAAUUGCACAGUAGAUCAAGGGGUGUGCUGGCUUCCUCCUGUUUGUCCCAAUGGGAAGCUGUGACAGGGACCCAGUCUUGCUUGCGUCAUAGAGCUCCACACCGCCUCUGCUGACCUUCAUCUCCACAGUGUAGCCACUGAUGGGAAGAAAUGAGCUGAACCUGAAGCUAGCAUCGGCACAGAGACCCCCACUCCAGCCCUGUGUGAGCCACACAGGGCUGCUCAUUGCAUGAGCCCACACGACAGGUGCAUUUCAGGAUCCCUUCUAUAGUGGUCAUGAUCCAUUGAACUGACAAUAAUGCCUCCUGAGUAGAACUUGCUAGAAAGAUUUCUGAGACAUUGUAUGUCAUUUAAAUUAGAGAAUCAAAUUAAGAUAUUCUGAGAACACCUCCCUAAAUGCCUAAAUGUCACCUUAUCUUUAAUAUAAAUGCUCUUUUUUUAAAAUUUGUGUUAAACUAUCCCAAAUUCAAUCCUUUUUUUUUUUUUAACCUGGAAAUACUAAUUAACCACUUUCUAGAAUCCCUUUUCCUACGCCACAGGUUGAGUAGAUUUAACUGAGAUCACAGAUAACUCAGCAGAAAUCAAAGGGCACUAUUUUCUAUUUCUUUUUCUUUCUUACUAUAUAGGUUUUUUUUGUUUUGUUUUUACCACUGACAACAAAACAUUCACACACCUCGGAUUCAGAGUCCCUGUGGUUCCAUGCAUAAUUAGCAUCCAACUGUCUGCCAGCAAAUAAUUUCUGAUGGUUAAUUGGACCCUCGCAAAUAGGAGGAACAGAGAAGGCUGUGGCAAGACCACUGUCAGAGCCACGGCUGGUGGCCUGCGAAGAGCAGGUAGCACUCAGGGCACAGUGGUGGCUUGAGACAUGAACCAGCCCAGGGUGUAUGGGUGGCUCAGAGAGUAUGCCAGCCCAAUGUUCAGUCAGGAAAGAGAAUCCCUACUUGUACCCUAGAAGGCCCUUGACUUCCAGGUGUCCCACCAGAAAACAGUCAUUCCAUCAUUAAGCUCUCAAGCCAGAAAGCCAGAGAGGAAUUUGGCUGGUAGU
This is a long non-coding RNA of Perognathus longimembris pacificus (Pacific pocket mouse), 1412 nucleotides long. RefSeq lists it as uncharacterized. The transcript is spliced from 3 exons. The record is from RefSeq and is a predicted model, not a curated record. NCBI's taxonomy places the organism in Eukaryota, Metazoa, Chordata, Mammalia, Rodentia, Heteromyidae.